Molecule: long non-coding RNA, 403 nt
Organism: Hippocampus comes (tiger tail seahorse)
Lineage: Eukaryota; Metazoa; Chordata; Actinopteri; Syngnathiformes; Syngnathidae
Exons: 2
Source: RefSeq, a predicted model, not a curated record
UGGGGGUGAAAAAAUGUAUGCAUUUCAAUGCAAUUCAAAAGGCCGAAACAAACAAUCUGUCAAAUCGCAAUGCCUUUAUUCCGUUGUUGCGUCAGUGGUACAAUGCUUUGAAAACAUGCAACCACUUGGAAGCGUGCAUGACAUUGGGAAUGUUCUUCACAGAGACUAACAUAUGACAAUGUGUGGUGUGUUGCGUCGCUUAAACACAAAGUUUCUGGUUAAACAAGAACAUAAAAAGAAACAUUGACAAAAGGUAUAAAACAAACAAAAAAAAAAUGCAUUGAAACACAUUCAUACAAUAGAAAAUGUUUUGGUCGAGCCUCUCCUGCUCUUUUCCGAGGCCGUGGAAUGUGAUUGUCUGACGUUGGAGCAGGAACAGAAAUCAAUGGAAGCUGAUUUAAGA